This 474-nucleotide ribosomal RNA is filed under the name Triticum aestivum (bread wheat). RNAcentral's name for it is "partial small subunit ribosomal RNA". The record is from RNAcentral. Lineage: Eukaryota; Viridiplantae; Streptophyta; Magnoliopsida; Poales; Poaceae.
CUACAAAAUCAGAUUGCCCUCAACGUAGACGCUGCAUACUCAAAGGAAGAUCAUACAUGAGCUUGUGGAGCAGUACUACGGGAUAGCUACGUAACUUUCAUUGGUGCGGCAACGGUAAAACUCCAGCAUGUGGCUGAUGUGCUAUCGGCUGAAGUUGCAGCACUAGCAGAAGGUUUGAAACUUGCACUCUCUGUGGGAUGCACCUCGGCCAGGGUUCAGUCCGAUUGUUUGGUGCUGAUUGAAGCAAUGCAGCAGAACGAUGGACAUUCUAUGGAAGCAGCGCCAAUUCUAGAUGAUUGUCGGUUACUUCUUUUUUAUUUCGGGAAGGUCGUCUUAGAGCGUUGUAAUCGUGAUGCUAACUCAGCUGCUCGUGUGCUAGCGCAGAACAGUCGUGUUGAUCCACCGAAUGUGUGGUUGGACUCACCUCCGAAUGUUAUUCAUGAACUUUUAGCAGAAAAUGCAAAUGUUGUUUAA